Molecule: microRNA precursor, 67 nt
Filed under: Xyrichtys novacula (pearly razorfish)
Lineage: Eukaryota; Metazoa; Chordata; Actinopteri; Labriformes; Labridae
Source: RNAcentral
UCACUCCAUGAUGAUGUCACAGGUUCAAUUACAAAAAAAUUGUACCUGUGACAUCAUCAUGUAGUGA